UACGUAGGGGGCAAGCGUUGUCCGGAAUCAUUGGGCGUAAAGCGCGCGUAGGUGGCCAUGUAAGUCCGCUGUGAAAGUCAAAGGCUCAACCUUUGAAAGCCGGUGGAUACUGCACGGCUAGAGUACGGAAGAGCGAGUGGAAUUCCUGGUGUAGCGGUGGAAUGCGCAGAUAUCAGGAGGAACACCAAUAGCGAAGGCAGCUC
RNAcentral lists this ribosomal RNA (203 nucleotides) under uncultured bacterium. RNAcentral describes it as "partial 16S ribosomal RNA". It matches the Rfam family "Bacterial small subunit ribosomal RNA", at positions 524 to 727 of the family's 1533-position model. The record is from RNAcentral.